GUGGGGAAUAUUGGACAAUGGGGGAAACCCUGAUCCAGCGACGCCGCGUGAGUGAAGAAGUAUUUCGGUAUGUAAAGCUCUAUCAGCAGGGAAGAAAAUGACGGUACCUGACUAAGAAGCCCCGGCUAACUACGUGCCAGCAGCCGCGGUAAUACGUAGGGGGCAAGCGUUAUCCGGAUUUACUGGGUGUAAAGGGAGCGUAGACGGCACUGCAAGUCUGGAGUGAAAGCCCGGGGCUCAACCCCGGGACUGCUUUGGAAACUGUGGUGCUGGAGUGCAGGAGAGGUAAGUGGAAUUCCUAGUGUAGCGGUGAAAUGCGUAGAUAUUAGGAGGAACACCAGUGGCGAAGGCGGCUUACUGGACUGUAACUGACGCUGAGGCGCGAAAGUGUGGGGAGCAAACAGGAUUAGAAACCCUAGUAGUCC
This 425-nucleotide ribosomal RNA is filed under the name uncultured bacterium. RNAcentral's name for it is "partial 16S ribosomal RNA". It matches the Rfam family "Bacterial small subunit ribosomal RNA", at positions 354 to 796 of the family's 1533-position model. The record is from RNAcentral.